This is a long non-coding RNA of Equus caballus (horse), 2773 nucleotides long. The record is from Ensembl. NCBI's taxonomy places the organism in Eukaryota, Metazoa, Chordata, Mammalia, Perissodactyla, Equidae.
AUUGGCUUGUUUGGAUCACAUGUUCUCCUUUGAACCAAUCACUGAAUCCUCUGAUUAGCCAGCCUGGGUCAUAUGCUCAGCUCCAGGGAAAAAGGAUGGUAGUUCUUGAUUUUCAGCCCUACCAAAAAUUCCAAAAAGAAGACCUACAAGACAGGUUAGAAACGCUGCUCAGAUGAAUGAACAGAUGCGGCAGUGUGCACUGCGAAAUGAUAUGACCAACAUCAUCCAUUUUGGGAGGUAGAACCUUUACCAUUUUAUAAGAGAGAAUCCUAAAAUCUUGAAAAGCCAAAGCAUAAUAUUUUAAUUUUGAAGUCUUUUGGGCAUCUUCCCAUAUAGUUUAAUUAAUAAUUUCUGAUUUCUGUAUAAGCUUUGUUACAAAAACUAAAGAUUCAUCAGGAAGGAAAAGCUUUAAAGGUGUUCAGCAAAACAUCAUUAGUCUGGGAUAAGUGUAAGAAAGAGAAGGAUAGUAAUAAUGUUAUUGGUUCCUUGAAAUUGUCUCAGUAGUUGGAUUAGAAUUGAAUUCGUAUUAUUCAGCCUGCAAAGAACAUCUCAUUAGACACCGGAGAAACCAUUUCUGAGCAUAUUAUCACAAGGAAAUCCAGACAAUCCAUUAUUUCUCUUUCCCCUCUCUGUUUAGUAUGCACAGCACAGGGAAAGGGAAGCAGAGUGAUAAGGCAUUGGCAGGAGAAGUUUUCAGGAGUUCUUUCGGCUGAUUUCAAAGUUUUCCUGUUUCCUGGUCACUGUGAGCACAUCUCUGCAUAGCUUUCAUAGCUUCGCAAGCAGUGUUUGGUCUGCAUCUGUAGACCAGAUUUGGUGGUUGACAAUUUGAUAUGUGCAGAUAGAGUUUAAAGAGAAAUGCACAAAACAGAAAGUAGUUUGGAGUACCUUCCUCGCCUCAUGAUUGAAAAAAUGACGAUUUAUACAGUUCAUUCUUAGGAGGACAAAGUUGUAUUCCACACAUCCAAGCAGGUAAGCAAAAAUAUUGCUUUUUCCAUUUUAUAAUCAACUCACAAGCUCUCAGGGAAAUUGCUGGUUCCUGUAACUACGGUUCUGGAGCCCAAAAUAGAAUCCACAUCUCCUGACUCACUUCUUUCCUCUAGAACACGUCGCCUAAAAUAGGGUUGUUUUUUGGGAUCUGAAAGCAUAUUUUCCUUUUAAUAAUACUAGCAGAGUUGGUGGAGGCCCAACUCUGUACCAGGACUGGGCUGAGCACUUCACACAUGUUCUCCCAAUUAGUUUUCUCCUCAUUCCCCUUUCCUGGGAGGUGGGUAUUGUUACCUGCUGACACAGGAGCAGAUUCAAAGAGCUCAACGUGCACAGGAUCCUGCAGCCAGGAAGGACGAAGGUGUCUGGAUUGGGGUUUUUCAAGUCCAAAAGCCUUUGUUCUUAGCUACGAUAGUCCCAAAGCAAAAGCAGCAUGUUAUUUAGGAGCAUAACAAAACUAUCAUUGGGAAGUCACAUAGAAAAGAACAAUGCACUUUUUCCUGUAUUUUGUGGGCUUUAGGUUAGAGCCAGCCUCAUCUUGUCUAAGGUGUUCAGAAUCAGAGUGACUAGCUGUGGGCAGAAUAAUGAUCCCUUGAUCCCUAGUGAUAUUUCUCUGAUUUUUCUUAUUGAGUAGAACCAUAUAGCUAUACAUUUAAGGCAAACUUCUUAACAAAAUCAGAAGCUCUUCUCGGAAAAGAGAGAACUCAGUAACUACAAACUCUAAGCAUUAUAAUCUCAUAGCAUAUCACAUUUUAAGAAAGUGUAGUGCAAAUAGCAAAAGAACUUCAAAUAACUUAGAACUGCUCACAGUUCAGUUUGCAGCAUGUUAGAGCAUUUCCAUUUGAGGCCUUCAAGGCAUUUGGACUGCAACUUCUGUAACUGUCAUGUGAUUAAGAGUUUACAGCGGAUUUGAAAUCAGAGAAUCAUGGAUUGAAAUCCUGACUCAUUUCCCUGAACCUCAGUUUUCUCAUCUCUAAAACAGUGAUAAUAGCAAAUAACAGCAAAAAUGUAGCUAGUGGUUGUUAUAUGCUAGGCACUGUUCUAAGUGCUUUACAGACAUAUCUUGCCUUAUCUUUCAAAAACCCAGUGGGAUAGGCACUAUUUUAUCCCCACAUUACAGAGGAAAGAACUGAGGCCGAGAUGUUAAGUCCUUUGCCUGAGAUCGUGUGGCUAGUAAGUAGUAGAAAUGGGAUUUCAAUGAAGCUUUUGAUUCCUAAAGUCUCUGAAGUCCCACAGGAAAUUGCCCUAUUACACAGUUAUUAUGAAUAUUAAAAGAAAAAUUUAAAUGAGGUAGUGUACAUAAGGAACUUUACAUAGUACUUGGCAUAUAGUAGAAAGCCAAUUUUUUUGUUUUUGAAACUAGAAAGGGGAAUCUGACAAACUCAUCACUAAGAUUAUAAGGGAAAUUAAGAAUUUGUCUGAAGGAAACCAGGAAUCUAUUUUAAAGAAUCACUGGAUAUUUGGAUUUUAUGUUCUCAUUUUCCUAUUAGUUCAUUAAUUCUCACUUAGUUGGCAUGCUUCUGUGGCUGAUAAUGACUGGCUCACCACUGUUUCUGGAAUCUGUUUUCCUGUCUACCUUCUUGUUUUUCCAUAAAACUACUGUCCUUUAAAAUGGCCUGUGGCCUGUGUUCCCCAUGGCCCAGUCCCCUGGUGGGUGAGGCUUGCCACCUCUAGUUGCUACCUGGACCCAGUACUUACACAUCAAGGUCAGUAGUUAAUGCUUACAAUGCAAAUAAAGUUAUAUUCAAGCAUGUAUGUGCACGCACACACAUGCACACCAAGUUUGCAG